This 73-nucleotide transfer RNA is filed under the name Nephila pilipes (giant wood spider). It matches the Rfam family "tRNA". From Rfam's summary of the family: Transfer RNA (tRNA) molecules are approximately 80 nucleotides in length. The record is from Rfam by way of RNAcentral. Lineage: Eukaryota; Metazoa; Arthropoda; Arachnida; Araneae; Nephilidae.
GCCCGGACAGCUCAGUCGGUAGAGCGUUAAGCUUUUAACUUAACGGUCCUGGGUUCGAGUCCCUAUUCGGGCA